AAUGAAAUCUGACUAGAAAAAAAUGCUUAUUUAAGUCUGAGAAAGUGACUAGGAAAUGGCAUUCAGAAAAUUCCCCUGUCUGAACUAUUGUAAUAGAAUGUAAACAGAUUUGUGAGUUAGAUACUAGUGUCAUGCAGAACUGCUAAUGUUUGUAGUUCAAGAUGGGUUGGCCAUUGUCAAUUCCAUAUGUUUUGACCUUAUACAAUGAGGUCUUUCUGUUGUGAGGUAUUCUGGGCCAGGUGUGUAGCAGGGACUGUGAGAAAUGAAAAAGGAAGACAGUUGAAGUUUCCUUGCAGUGAUAAAGGCAAGAAAGCAUGACUGUUUUUCAUAAAGCAGUAGCUAGGAGGGAGAGAUUGAAUCAUUUCUAAACUGAAAUAACAGAUAACCAAGUGGAUAUAAGGGGUGAGAAAGUGAGAAUCAUCAGGAGGAUGCUGAGAUUUCAGGAAAAGAAACAGUGAAUUUCGAAAAGAGUUUUGUUUAUUUUUUUCACAUUUCUAUAAGGUUUAUUCUUUUGGAUUCCACACUAAUUCAAAAAAUGCAUUUGUUUUAAAAAAACAAACAUGCCAAGAAAAAGUGACAAUUCCCAGAACCCAAAGUUGCCUACUGGAGCACAGCACUUCUGGUGAGGAAGCAGGUACUGUUGCUGAAAAAUGCAUUGUUGGCUUGUUACUUAACACUGCUUUCCUGGUCUCAGAACUAGAGAAAUAG
This 708-nucleotide long non-coding RNA is filed under the name Ictidomys tridecemlineatus (thirteen-lined ground squirrel). RNAcentral's name for it is "lncRNA (ENSSTOG00000031725.1)". Lineage: Eukaryota; Metazoa; Chordata; Mammalia; Rodentia; Sciuridae. The record is from RNAcentral.